GUUAUUUUCUUUUUAAAUCAGAGGGCCAGCUUUCAAUCAACAUUUUCUUUCCUUCUGGUUUCAGGUCUGGUUGGUUUCCAAUACGGCAGAUGCAUCAGUAGGUCUUUGGAAAAACUGUACCAACGUUAGCUGCAGUGACAGCCUGUCAUAUGCCAGUGAAGAUGCCCUCAAGACAGUGCAGGCCUUCAUGAUUCUCUCUAUCAUCUUCUGUGUCAUUGCCCUCCUGGUCUUCGUGUUCCAGCUCUUCACCAUGGAGAAGGGAAACCGGUUCUUCCUCUCAGGGGCCACCACACUGGUGUGCUGGCUGUGCAUUCUUGUGGGGAUGUCCAUCUACACUAGUCGUUAUGCGAAUCGUGAUGGAACGCAGUAUCACCACGGCUAUUCCUACAUCCUGGGCUGGAUCUGCUUCUGCUUCAGCUUCAUCAUCGGCGUUCUCUAUCUGGUCCUGAGAAAGAAAUAAGGCCGGACGAGUUCAUGGGGAUCUGGGGGGUGGGGAGGAGGAAGCCGUUGAAUCUGGGAGGGAAGUGGAGGUUGCUGUACAGGAAAAACCGAGAUAGGGGAGGGGGGAGGGGGAAGCAAAGGGGGGA
RNAcentral lists this small RNA (587 nucleotides) under Pan troglodytes (chimpanzee). Its description in RNAcentral is "retained intron". The record is from RNAcentral. Lineage: Eukaryota; Metazoa; Chordata; Mammalia; Primates; Hominidae.